GCAAACAGUGCUCACAUUGUAUAAGGGCAUACCUACAACGCGUAGUGAAACACCGAAUGCAGACUUCGGCUAAUCCGUCCUCAAUAAAGCUGACAUAAUUAUACUAAGCUGCCUUUCUACAAAAUCAUUCAGGAAUUCAAAACUUUUCCUUCUCUUCUCUCUCUCAAAGAUUUUUGCAUUCCCCGGCAUCUUCCUACACGACCGGUUCCAGCAUAACGGGGGAUGUAGCCUAUGUUCCAAAGGUUGAAAUAACCUUUAAAAAAGUAAUAUAUACGUCAUAUGGUGAGAGGGAACAGAGGAAACCUGAGGCACUCAAUAAAAAGGGUUUAAACGGGGGAUUGCAACGAUGAAUUACAGGGACGGGACUAUACAUGCACGAUUUCUUGAAGAAAUCCGUUCUUCCAAGUGCAGAGGUGGAAAUCCUUUCCGGAUCCUGUAAGUUCGUUAGUUACACAAUGAGCUCUGCCUCUAAUCUGAUUAUUAAUUGCUUUGGAUAUGUCAUUGAAUAGAACGCAGGUAAAAACCUACGUUUUUUAAACUACUUUUUCGAGAAUAUCCCAGCAUUUGUACAAGACAUACGCUUAGUAACGAUGUUAACCGAAUGUCUUUGACUAUAAAAUGUCGAAUGAUUCAUGAAAAAAAAACAUUUUAUUGACGACGAUUGAUUAGGUAUAUUGCCAUGUUAUUUAAAAUAAUAUGAAAAGUCUGAUUACAUUUUGUCUGCUGCAUUCGGAUCAGUCUUCAUGGAGCCGCUACGAGCCAGUCUUCUUCAAUCCCUGCAAAGCUAGAGCUUGCUGCAGCUGUGUGAUGCUGUCGGGACGGGGCGCAAAUACCCCUCUUUCUCUUUGCCUACCACCGGUUUCAGACCUUUUUGCUUUGCUAGGUGUCCAAACGUGUGUUAAGCUUUUCUUAUUAUUUUCAAUAUUAGGCCAAAUUUGCCGUCGGUCUUUUUAUGAUGAUUAUAAAACGCACACCACGAAUCAAAGUUGCAUACAUCUAGUGAAAAUAUUUUUUAGUAAAUACUAAAUUAUUUAUUGGUUAUAGAUACAGCCCGGAUGGUAGGCUAUUGACUGGUACGAAAUAUUCGCAUCAAUGUAGGCAUGUCAAAUGCAUACAAACAUGAAAACCAAUGGGGCAUGGACAACGGAUGUUUCGAAAUGAUUACUCAUAAAACACAGGGUGGGAUUACUAGUGUUAUUGGAAAUGGUACAGAAAAAUCUACUUAUUUUCAACAACAAAAAAAUACACGUUUCUAAAUCCGAAGAAUUUAGUUCAGAACCAUCUAAACCAUCAAGACUUACAUACCUACGCAACACUAACUUUUUAAUCAAACCCCAAAUUAUUCGACUGUAAAAAGUUGUUCCUAACAUCUUCUUUUCUUUUUUGUGUGGUCUCAUUAAGUGGGCAUCCUGCUAAGUCUGCGGGGUUAUACGGGACCUGUCCAAUCAGUGUAUUUGCACGGCUUGUUAGCGACAGUUAAUGAGGGCGCUCUGCGCAAGGAGAGAAUGGUGCCUCAAUGUUAGAUUUACCUUGUGUCAACUCGUUACUUCUAAUGAAGCCAUUGGAAGCUUCUCAGUGAAUGGAGCCGGGCGGCUGGAACUGCAGGCCCUCUUUCUUCCGGUUCCUAUAAGGAGGGCUUUUGCUGGACUGAACUCCAUGAUGCAUGUAUCAGAUGGUGGGGGUGCACUGAGUCAUUUGGAUUGAACAAGAGAAAAGGGAAGUAAGUGUGUAUAUACGUGCGUGUGCGUGUGUGUGUGCGCGCGCCCGCGCGCGCGUGUGCGUGUGUGUGUGUGUGAAAGAAAUAACCCGGUGUAAUAUCGCAAGCUGCUAUCGUUUAUUUCUUGGUCAAUCGGGUUUGACGUGUCAGUUUGCCACUCCAGAAGUUCACUUAAAAUAUCUCCACGCAUGCGCUCCAUAAGUUGGCUUUUGGCUGGGCCCAUCAACCACACACCAUUGUCUCUCAAUUCAGGUAAAACAGAGUUACUCAAAAGCCUUUCCAAGUCUGCUUCCCCUCAAUAUUCCCGCCCACAGAGGCACCACUUAAAAUUCUAUUAAUAUUUCAAGUAUAUUCUUCGAAAAAAAUGUUGGGACUCAAAGAAGGAAAA
This is a long non-coding RNA of Esox lucius (northern pike), 2105 nucleotides long. RefSeq lists it as uncharacterized. NCBI's taxonomy places the organism in Eukaryota, Metazoa, Chordata, Actinopteri, Esociformes, Esocidae. The record is from RefSeq and is a predicted model, not a curated record. The transcript has 3 exons.